GAUGAACGCUAGCGGCAGGCUUAAUACAUGCAAGUCGUGGGGCAGCAGGACUGUAGCACUCCAGUUGCUGGCGACCGGCACACGGGUGCGGAACACGUACGCAACUUACCCUGAACUGGGGGAUAGCCCGGGGAAACCCGGAUUAAUACCCCGUAAUAUAAUGGAGUGGCAUCACUUUAUUAUUAAAGCUCCGGCGGUUCGGGAUGGGCGUGCGGCUGAUUAGGUAGUUGGUUGAGGUAACGGCUCACCAAGCCUACGAUCAGUAACUGGUGUGAGAGCACGACCAGUCAGACGGGCACUGAGGCACGGGCCCGACUCCUACGGGAGGCAGCAGUAAGGAAUAUUGGGCAAUGGAGGCAACUCUGACCCAGCCACGCCGCGUGGAGGAGGAAGGCCCUUUGGGUUGUAAACUUCUUUUAAAGGGGACGAAACCUGUGUAUUCUUACGCAGUUGACGGUACCCUAGGAAUAAGCACCGGCUAACUCCGUG
This 489-nucleotide ribosomal RNA is filed under the name uncultured bacterium. RNAcentral describes it as "partial 16S ribosomal RNA". It matches the Rfam family "Bacterial small subunit ribosomal RNA", at positions 28 to 507 of the family's 1533-position model. The record is from RNAcentral.